AACGAACGCUGGCGGCAUGCCUAACACAUGCAAGUCGAACGAGACCUUCGGGUCUAGUGGCGCCCGGGUGCGUAACGCGUGGGAACCUGCCCUUAGGUUCGGAAUAACUCCCCGAAAGGGGUGAUAAUACCGGAUAAUGUCUUAGGACCAAAGAUUUAUCGCCUUUGGAUGGGCCCGCGUUGGAUUAGCUAGUUGGUAGGGUAAAAGCCUACCAAGGCGACGAUCCAUAGCUGGUCUGAGAGGAUGAUCAGCCACACUGGGACUGAGACACGGCCCAGACUCCUACGGGAGGCAGCAGUGGGGAAUAUUGGACAAUGGGCGAAAGCCUGAUCCAGCAAGGCCGCGUGAGUGAUGAAGGCCGUAGGGUUGUAAAGCUCUUUUACCCGGGAUGAUAAUGACAGUACCGGGAGAAUAAGCUCCGGCUAACUCCGUG
This 433-nucleotide ribosomal RNA is filed under the name uncultured bacterium. RNAcentral describes it as "partial 16S ribosomal RNA". It matches the Rfam family "Bacterial small subunit ribosomal RNA", at positions 29 to 507 of the family's 1533-position model. The record is from RNAcentral.